This 400-nucleotide ribosomal RNA is filed under the name uncultured bacterium. RNAcentral's name for it is "bacterial SSU rRNA". It matches the Rfam family "Bacterial small subunit ribosomal RNA", at positions 356 to 773 of the family's 1533-position model. The record is from RNAcentral.
GGGGGAUAUUGGACAAUGGGGGCAACCCUGAUCCAGCGACGCCGCGUGAGGGAAGAAGGUUUUCGGAUUGUAAACCUCUGUUGCCGGAGAAAAAAAUGAUGGUAUCCGUUUAGAAAGCCACGGCUAACUACGUGCCAGCAGCCGCGGUAAUACGUAGGUGGCAAGCGUUGUCCGGAAUUACUGGGUGUAAAGGGAGUGUAGGCGGGAUAUCAAGUCAGAAGUGAAAAUUACGGGCUCAACUCGUAACCUGCUUUUGAAACUGACAUUCUUGAGUGAAGUAGAGGCAAGCGGAAUUCCUAGUGUAGCGGUGAAAUGCGUAGAUAUUAGGAGGAACACCAGUGGCGAAGGCGGCUUGCUGGGCUUUGACUGACGCUGAGGCUCGAAAGCGUGGGGAGCAAAC